RNAcentral lists this ribosomal RNA (387 nucleotides) under uncultured bacterium. Its description in RNAcentral is "bacterial SSU rRNA". It matches the Rfam family "Bacterial small subunit ribosomal RNA", at positions 28 to 417 of the family's 1533-position model. The record is from RNAcentral.
GACGAACGCUGGCGGCGUGCUUAACACAUGCAAGUCGAACGGAAAGGCCCUUUCGGGGUGCUCGAGUGGCGAACGGGUGAGUAACACGUGGGUGAUCUGCCCUGAACUUUGGGAUAAGCCUGGGAAACUGGGUCUAAUACCGGAUAUGACCAGUGGGUGCAUGCUUGCUGGUGGAAAGCCUUGUGCGGUUUGGGAUGGGGCCCGCGGCCUAUCAGCUUGUUGGUGGGUAAUGGCCUACCAAGGCGACGACGGGUAGCCGACCUGAGAGGGUGAUCGGCCACACUGGGACUGAGACACGGCCCAGACUCCUACGGGAGGCAGCAGUGGGGAAUAUUGCACAAUGGGCGCAAGCCUGAUGCAGCGACGCCGCGUGAGGGAUGACGGCCU